AUUGAACGCUGGCGGCAGGCCUAACACAUGCAAGUCGAGCGGAUGAAGGGAGCUUGCUCCUGGAUUCAGCGGCGGACGGGUGAGUAAUGCCUAGGAAUCUGCCUGGUAGUGGGGGAUAACGUCCGGAAACGGGCGCUAAUACCGCAUACGUCCUGAGGGAGAAAGUGGGGGAUCUUCGGACCUCGCGCUAUCAGAUGAGCCUAGGUCGGAUUAGCUAGUUGGUGGGGUAAAGGCCUACCAAGGCGACGAUCCGUAACUGGUCUGAGAGGAUGAUCAGUCACACUGGAACUGAGAUACGGUCCAGACUCCUACGGGAGGCAGCAGUGGGGAAUAUUGGACAAUGGGCGAAAGCCUGAUCCAGCCAUGCCGCGUGUGUGAAGAAGGUCUUCGGAUUGUAAAGCACUUUAAGUUGGGAGGAAGGGCAGUAAGUUAAUACCUUGCUGUUUUGACGUUACCAACAGAAUAAGCACCGGCUAACUUCGUG
Molecule: ribosomal RNA, 484 nt
Filed under: uncultured bacterium
Lineage: Bacteria
Description: partial 16S ribosomal RNA
Rfam family: Bacterial small subunit ribosomal RNA
Source: RNAcentral